Molecule: long non-coding RNA, 281 nt
Filed under: Homo sapiens (human)
Lineage: Eukaryota; Metazoa; Chordata; Mammalia; Primates; Hominidae
Description: non-protein coding lnc-MAPK6-10:4
Source: RNAcentral
GGGAUGUGGUAGCAAAGAAGCUAUUCCAAUGAUCCAACCUCAAGAUCAUGCAAAUGUGAACUAAAGCAAUGGCAUCAGGAUGGAGCAGAGAAGAUGGACUGGAGAGAGUUUUAGGAGAUGGAGGAAGGUAGCCUGGGCCCAACUGAACUCACUGUGUAUUCAGAAAAUAACCCACAGUUGGGAAAUUCACAGUGCCAUUGCUUUGAAUCAAAUCCUUACUUCAUACCAGGAUGUACCAUGAUUCUUGGCAACAUGACUGGGUAUUGAUGUCUUGUCUAGCC